Molecule: non-coding RNA, 29 nt
Filed under: Homo sapiens (human)
Lineage: Eukaryota; Metazoa; Chordata; Mammalia; Primates; Hominidae
Source: RNAcentral
UCCUAGUGAUUACUGACUUUAGUGCCUAA